Molecule: ribosomal RNA, 732 nt
Filed under: uncultured Actinomycetes bacterium
Lineage: Bacteria; Bacillati; Actinomycetota; Actinomycetes
Description: bacterial SSU rRNA
Rfam family: Bacterial small subunit ribosomal RNA
Source: RNAcentral
GACGAACGCUGGCGGCGUGCUUAACACAUGCAAGUCGAACGCUGAAGCCUGGCUUUUGUUGGGUGGAUGAGUGGCAAACGGGUGAGUAACACGUGAGUAACCUGCCCUCUUCUUUGGGAUAACGCCCGGAAACGGGUGCUAAUACUGGAUAUUCACUUGCCUUCGCAUGGGGGUGGGUGGAAAGGGUUUUUUUCUGGUGGGGGAUGGGCUCGCGGCCUAUCAGCUUGUUGGUGGGGUGAUGGCUUACCAAGGCUUUGACGGGUAGCCGGCCUGAGAGGGUGACCGGUCACAUUGGGACUGAGAUACGGCCCAGACUCCUACGGGAGGCAGCAGUGGGGAAUAUUGCACAAUGGGCGCAAGCCUGAUGCAGCGACGCCGCGUGAGGGAUGGAGGCCUUCGGGUUGUGAACCUCUUUCGCUCAUGGUCAAGCCGCAACUCAUGGUUGUGGUGAGGGUAGUGGGUAAAGAAGCGCCGGCUAACUACGUGCCAGCAGCCGCGGUAAUACGUAGGGCGCGAGCGUUGUCCGGAAUUAUUGGGCGUAAAGGGCUUGUAGGCGGUUGGUCGCGUCUGCCGUGAAAUCCUCUGGCUUAACUGGGGGCGUGCGGUGGGUACGGGCUGACUUGAGUGCGGUAGGGGAGACUGGAACUCCUGGUGUAGCGGUGGAAUGCGCAGAUAUCAGGAAGAACACCGGUGGCGAAGGCGGGUCUCUGGGCCGUUACUGACGCUGAGGAG